This is a long non-coding RNA of Rhipicephalus sanguineus (brown dog tick), 180 nucleotides long. RefSeq lists it as uncharacterized. The transcript has 3 exons. The record is from RefSeq and is a predicted model, not a curated record. NCBI's taxonomy places the organism in Eukaryota, Metazoa, Arthropoda, Arachnida, Ixodida, Ixodidae.
CACUUUUCAAGUUCUUUGGCGAAUGCUUGCAAAGCUGUGGUGAUGACCAGAUCUGCUUCUACGUGAUCAAGUCUAUGACAGCACUAGUAAGCUUCAUUGGCACAGAUGAUGCUAAUUGUUUCCAAGUACUAAUCCCUUGUGUCAUGGAAGUUAUCCGAAGACUGGCAAGUACAGAUGAGG